CCCUGCUGCUCUCCCUGUUGCUCUCUCCCUGUUGCUGCUCUCUCCCUGUUGCUGCUCUCUCCGUGAUUCCCGGGAAGCGAGGCCGUUACCCCGCGUCGCGCGUGGAUCGAUGCGGGGGAAUCGCCACAACGAUUCGCACCGAGAGAGUCGCCGACUGACAGGGGGAUGAACGUCGUGGCACGUGGUGACCAACAAGGUCUGCAUUGGCCUGUAAUAAGGGAACGGAGGAAGUUCAGGAAGAAGGCAGGACGAGAGAUGCCAAGGUGAAAUGGUGACAGGAAACUCACGUUUCAAGGCUUUUACGGAUUUGCCAAUGCUGUUGGCGCCCUUCUGGUGUGAAAUUAAAGGCGGCCCUGGUUGCAGUUCUCUACACUGGCUGCUGGAUGUCCCCGUGUGUGUCCUGGCCGAUGUCGAGUCCGUGUACUGCAGAGGUGGUGGCAAGAGACGCGGAGGAGACGUAAAGAAAACGCAGGUGUACUUCCAAAAGUAAAUUGUUUAAUGUUACGCCAAACUCGCACGCGCUUGAAGAUCACAGACAAUAAGAGCGAGGCAUAGUGGGCACAGGUUACACUUGUCAUCAACGAUACCUGAAAAUCCUCUACACUCCGUUGUUUGACCAUGUUGCUACAAGUAAAAUAAGUCUCACCGGGUCACACAUCCCUUCCACAAAAUCUCAUUCAUUUUCAGCUGUGGCUACAAUUGCUGCAGUCCACCUUGAAAGGUAUCAAACUGCAAUCUCCCUAGCAGAGACAGGGGACUGCUGUGAGGCUGCAGGCCACCAUCGGCUCCAUUUCCUCUUCCAUGAUGACGACGUGGAUGCUGUCAUUGGUGCUGCCACAUUGAUCGGGGAAUUCUUCAGACGUGCGCGUUACCACACUGUCACCCACCGACUCCACUCCCUAAUCCGACUCCAAUCCCCAAUCCGAAUCCCUCUCGCUCGCAGGAAAUGAGCCUGCAGUAUUCUGAUUGCUCCAAGCGGAAUCUGGAUUCUGCUCGCCUCCACCAGGGACUCUGCAAUCUGCCUGGCUGAGACGGGACCGUCGAGAGGCUGCAGGCCACCAUCGGCGCCAUGUCCACGGCCGGGCAAAGCGGGAUGUUAGUUCGUGAUGUCGCAGCCAUGGUGCUGCCCUGCACCCAUGGUUGGUUGAGGGCCCUCUGUGACUGUAAGGCAGCGUUCGGGAUCCCACCUGCCAAGAGACGGAGGGAAUUAGGGCCCAUUGCAUUCUAAAAUUGCUUUUUUCAUGGGCUGGUGAUGAGAUGUGCAGUUUCAUCACCAACACUAUUUUCAACGAAAAUAUUUAUUUUAAGAAUCUACAAGACGAAGAAAUCAUGCCCUGGCGUGACACAACACUUUGCAGUCCCAGCCCAAACUAAAUGUGAGAUCUAUUAACUUUUCAAGUAAAUGUUGAUGGGAGAUGCAAAGUGAUUUAUCUUUCUCUAUAUAUAAAAAAAGUCAAAAAUAGUUUGUGGCUGUGUGUGUGUUCACGCGCUUGCGAAGGAUUUGGCUCUCCAAUGGUGGAGUUUACGUUAAAUAUAAAUAGCCAGGUACCACGCCGUAAGCCGCGCCGUGAGCACGCGCUAUUCCUUUUUCACAUCCGUCAACUUUUAUUUAGUUUAAUUAGCCAUUUUGUGCAGUAUUUAUUUAUUAAAUGGCGCGCGAUCGACCACACCAACUCACACGUGUUCGGUGGGGGGGAAGGACUCGACAAAAGUCACGCAUUCGGUGGGGGUGUCGACACUGCGCGAGGUAACACGAAAUCACAGCUCCCUUCAAGCAUAAUCUAUCUUUUUUCUCUCAUUUCUAUUACUAUUUUUUCAUAAUACAGCGUACACAUUAACCAAUGUUUUAUGACAGUAUACAUAUUUACACAAUAUAACACGCUUUUUCCCCUGCGUACCGUUGUUACAUUUAAUGUCCUUAAGACAACAAAGUCCAGCCAAUGUGUCUUUUUGCCCACAAACUUUCCUGUUGUGAGCAGGACUUUACGUCACAAACUAUUAUUACUUUGUUAACAUCCAUUUUUCACUGCCUCAAAGCUUCAACUCUAUGGCGACACGUUAAAACAUUUUCUUUAAGAACAAACAUGAGAGUACAGCUUAUAGGGGAGUCAAGUGCACACGUUUUUGCUGACAAGCUUCUUCAAAUCGGUGAAGAUACUUUCCCCACUCAGUCGGCAUCAAGUGAAAUUAGCUUUCCAGAGGAUUUUUGCGAGAUGGUUGCCAUCGGUUCCUGAACUGAUACAUAAACUUUAUCCAAACAUAUCGUCAAAUUGCAAAAAUCACGAGUGGCUGUGUGAACGAGCCAUCCUUGCUGAUAAAAAAUAUUCUGUCAAUGAAAUUAAUAAUCAAGAUUCAGGAUUGCUUCCGGGCACAGUUACCGAGUACAACUCAAUCGAUACGGUGGUGGAUGCCGACGAAGCCGUAAACUAUCCAACGGAAUUCCUAAACUCACUCGACCCCCCGGGAAUGCCACCACAUCACCUUCGACUGCGAGUUGGGUCACCCAUCAUGCUGCUUCGCAAUCUGGACCCACCUAGGCUAUGUAAUGGCACAAGGCUGUGCGUAAAAAAAUUGCUGCUCAACGUAAUUGAGGCGACAGUGUUGACCGGGAAGGGAAAGGAGAAGAUGUAUUCAUCCCCCGCAUUCCACUCAUUCCGACAGACAUGCCGCUCAGUUUCAAGCGCCUAGAUUUCCCGGUCAGGCUGCCAUACAGUAUCACGAUCAACAAGGCACAGGGCCAGUCAAUCAAGUGCACUAGUAUCAACUUGAAAUCUCCACGUUUCUCCCACGGGCAGUUAUAUGUGGCGUGUUCUAGAGUGGGUUCCCCGAAUCAGUUGUAUAUCUUUUCCAACUGGAAAAAUAAAAAAUGUUGUUUAUAAACGGGCCUUACAAUGAACAUGUACUUUGGUAAUAUUAAACUUUAGGUACAUAGUUAUUGGCACCGUCGGCAUCAUGUCACCCAUCAUGCUGCUCAGGAAUCGCCAUGUUCUCACGUACAGUUAUAAGUUUCAGAAUUAGUUUUUAAGAAGAACAAAAAGGUGUUGUGUAGUCUUUAUAACAAAACAUUUUUAAAUAAUCGAUUAAUGUAGUGCAUUUUUCUUUUCACCUUUCUUAUGGAGCCUUUCCGAAAAGCCUAAAGUUACCUUAAGGUAUUUCUAACAAAUAGUACCUAAGAGAAAAUGAAAUCCCGGGCAACGCCGGGUAUAUAAGCUAGUAUUUAAUCAUUUUUACGAGGUUAAAUGUAAACAAUAGUAACGGGUCUCUUACUGAGGGCACCCGCGGAGAAAAUGUAUGAAAUUUCUAUUGCGGGUUCCCGGAAUCUUCCUCAGAGAGAGGGUGCACGGGAUGAUCCGUUUGCCGUUGAUGAUGGGGUGCUUCUCUUCGUCUGGUUUUCGGAGAAACAAUAAGAGAGACUGAAUUAGUUCUGGUGAUAAGUUCAAUGCGGAGGUCCUUAACGUUUAAUUGCGAUGCUGCAAAAAUAAUUCCCUGUCGGCGUUCGACUCGGCCUAUCAUCCCUCCAGGGUCAAUAAAAUUGAUAACGGUUUGUGAGACAUUACCAGUAGUUGUGUGGAAAGCAUGGCUCCCAAAUUAUAAAAGUGAAAUUCCCACUCUCGACUCUGGGCCACCAGACGAAAUGAGGACCACCUGAUGUUAAUUUGAGCAAGGAGACACUUCAGAUAUUUUAAGUUAAAAUUGUUAUCACUAGAGAGGAUGGUACAUUGUUAUACAAGUAUAUAAGCUUAAUAGAUUCCUCACUUAAGGACCCACAGUUUGUGUGGAGGGCUGUUCUGUAUAACAUGGUUGUUUGUAUUAUGGUAGAACUGCACUGUGCCGAUUUAGAAUACAGUUCCAUCUGGCACACAUUUUGAAUCAUACUUGGUUCUGUUGAAAUUUAAAAAAUGUGAUGUCCAGAAUACCAUGUAAUGCACACGUCCUCUGUUAGACUGCAAAUCUCUAUGGGUUUUCCAAAUAUACACUGUGCUACCUAAACAUAACUGUUUUUGUUUAUUGUUUUCAUAUCUCGUUACUGGCAUGGUAAAUCAAGAUGUACUGGUAGUAUGUUGCCAAGACCGCUGUGACUUUUAAGCCCAAAUGAAGCACAGCAUCUCAUGUCAAAAUUACGCGGAGCAGUUUACAAGCCUUUGUAUUCGAGCACAGGGUACGAGACGCGCAGCUGCAUGGCCACGAUUCUCCACGCUGUGACAGCAGCAGCAGCUGCUGCUGCGACCCCCUCUUGUCCACUCACCAAAGGAGAUGACGUCGGUCAAGGCGUCGAUCAUGGCUUUCGGUGGGAGCCCCAAGAGCUGAAACCAAUAUCACAAGAGGGAUGAGUUUACUUGAAUGAGGUCCGUUGCUCGUGUGAACAAUGUGUACAUAAAUAAUAGAGGGGUUUUUUUGGGUUAGAUCGCGUAAAUAUAUAAAUGUGUCAUUAAACCAGCCACCACCCGACACAGCUAAUUAGUAAGGCUUGUCAGUAAACAGAACGUGCCAAUUCGUUACUAG
This is a non-coding RNA of Petromyzon marinus (sea lamprey), 4503 nucleotides long. NCBI's taxonomy places the organism in Eukaryota, Metazoa, Chordata, Hyperoartia, Petromyzontiformes, Petromyzontidae. The record is from RefSeq and is a predicted model, not a curated record.